This 1145-nucleotide long non-coding RNA is filed under the name Malus domestica (apple). RNAcentral describes it as "long non-coding RNA (MDOM_LNC001331)". Lineage: Eukaryota; Viridiplantae; Streptophyta; Magnoliopsida; Rosales; Rosaceae. The record is from RNAcentral.
CCAAGGGAUUUCUAUAAAUUGAAAUCUGUUAAGACUCUUCUUCUUAAUGGAUGUUCAAAAUUCAUAGAACUGCAUGAGGAUAUAGGGGAGAUGAUAUCACUGAGAACACUUGAAGCAGAGCGAACAUCCAUAAGAGAAGUACCACCUUCCAUAGUAAGAUUGAAGAAUCUCACUGGUUUAUCCCUUGAUAAGUACCGCAUCAGUGUAAAGCUCAAAGGAGAAUACAAAUAUCUGUGUUGGGACCUAUGCCCUUUAAAGUCCAUACCAGAUGACUUUUUUAAUCAAGAUAAACUAGUUGUUUUACAGAUGCAGUAUAGCAAACUGGUACAAGUUUGGGAGGGUUCCAAGGUACAAUGAAUUACACGUGAUGAUGUUCUGUUUCUCUUUCUUUUUUUUAUAACAGCUUCAUUUCGGAUAUUAAUUUCAAUUUUCUUUUGAUUUUCUGCAACAGUCACUAUAUAACUUGAAAACCCUGGAUCUCAGCUGUUCCGAUUCCUUACAGAAAUCACCGGACUUUUCACAAGUCCCAAAUCUUGAAGAGUUGAUAUUGGAAGGGUGUUCUAGUUUGUCCGAGAUUCACCCCUCCAUUGGUCAUCUUAAAAAACUUUCUUUGGUGAACCUUACCCAAUGUUGGGAACUUAUUUCUCUUCCAAGGGAUUUCUAUAAAUUGAAAUCUGUUGAGACUCUUCUUCUUAAUGGAUGUUCAAAAUUCAUAGAACUGCAUGAGGAUAUAGGGGAGAUGAUAUCACUGAGAACACUUGAAGCAGAGCGAACAUCCAUAAGAGAAGUACCACCUUCCAUAGUAAGAUUGAAGAAUCUCACUGGUUUAUCCCUUGAUAAGUACGGCAUCAGUGUAAAGCUCAAAGGAGAAUACAAAUAUCUGUGUUGGGACCUAUGCCCUUUAAAGUCCAUACCAGAUGACUUUUUUAAUCAAGAUAAACUAGUUGUUUUACAGAUGCAGUAUAGCAAACUGGUACAAGUUUGGGAGGGUUCCAAGGUACAAUGAAUUACACGUGAUGAUGUUCUGUUUCUAUUUGUUUUUUGGAUUUCUUCUCUUUCUUUUUUUUAUAACAUCUUCAUUUCGGAUAUUAAUUUUAAUUUAUUUUGAUUUUCUGCAACAGUCGCUUCGUUACUUGAAAACCCUU